ACUUUCAGCAAUGGAUCUCUUGGCUCUUGCAUCGAUGAAGAACGCAGCGAAAUGCGAUACGUAGUGUGAAUUGCAGAUUCGUGACUCAUCGAAAUUUUGAACGCAUAUUGCACCUAGCGGCCAUUCCGUUAGGUAUGCUUGUUUGAGUGUCUGUCUGAUUUUCUCAACUUUUUAAAAAAAAAAUUAAAACCUUUUUUUUUUUUGCAAGUUGGCUUUGGUCUUGGCUGCGUUAACUCGUGCCUUGGCCGUAAAUAAGACAGCGGUCUGCUCUAGUUAAGCUCGCAGUGAGCUUGGCAAGUAACCGAAAUCCUAGUCAAGUACUUGGGUGGAAGGAGCUUGUCGACUCAGCGCGCGCAACACUUUUCUAAAGUGGCCCUUUUUUUCGACUUUGGUCGCCUGCGGUCAAGUAGAAAAAAAGAUUUUUCAGUUUUUCAUAACUGGACCUCAAAUCAAGCAAGGUUACCCGCUGAACUUAAGCAUAUUAAUAAGCGGAGGAAAAGAAACUAACAAGGAUUCCCCGAGUAAUGGCGAAUGAAACGGGAAAAGCCCAAAUUUGAAAUCUCCUAGCUUUUAUCGCUAGGCGAGUUGUAAUUUGUAGAAGGUCUUCAUCUGAACUGUGUUUGCUAAAGUCCAUUGGAAAAUGGCGGGCCUUUAUGGUCCUCAAGUCGUAGAGGGUGACAACCCCGUUCUUGGCAUUCUACUAGUUCUUUUGUAUGAUUCCUUCAAAGAGUCGGAUUGUUUGGGAAUGCAAUCCAAAACGGGUGGUAAAUUCCAUCCAAGGCUAAAUAUUAGCAAGAGACCGAUAGCGAACAAGUACCGUGAGGGAAAGAUGAAAAGAACUCUGAAGAGAGAGUUCAACAGUACGUGAAAUUGCUGAAAGGGAAACGCUUGAAACGAUUGUUGCUUUUGGUUUCGGCCUUGAGCGAGUCAGCAGCAGUUUUAAACGGUAAAGAAGUGCUUGUGGAAGGUAGUUUUCUUUGGAAAAUGUUAUAGCCAUAAGUAACUGUGCCGGUUAGGACUGAGGAUCGCUUUUAAGUGUCUUGUCGAGGAAUUUUGGGCCGUUAGCGCCAAGGCCUUGGGCUUGCUCAAGACUUGGUGUUAACUGUUCAGGACGACCAAACACAAGGCCUUAAAAUAGGUUGCUGACAAAAUGGUUUUAAUCGACCCGUCUUGAAACACGGACCAAGGAGUGCAACAAAUUUGCAAGUCGUAGGGUGACAAACCUGAAGGCGCAAUGAAAGUGAAAAAAUACCACCCAGUAAAAUGGGACAGUAUUGCCCGGUCUUGCGGCUACCGCCAAAGGAUCUGAGGUAGAGCAAAUUUGCUGCGACCCGAAAGAUGGUGAACUAUGCCUGCAUAGGGCGAAGCCAGAGGAAACUCUGGUGGAGGCUCGUAGCGAUUCUGACGUGCAAAUCGAUCGUCAAAUGUGGGUAUAGGGGCGAAAGACUAAUCGAACCAUCUAGUAGCUGGUUUCCGCCGAAGUUUCCCUCAGGAUAGCAGAGAUUCGUAAAGUAGUUUUAUGAGGUAAAGCGAAUGAUUAGAGGCUUGGGGGGCGAAACGCCUUUCACCUAUUCUCAAACUUUAAAUAUGUAAGAAGUCCUUGUUGCUUAAUUGAACUUGGACCUUCGAAUACAGAAUCUCUAGUGGGCCAUUUUUGGUAAGCAGAACUGGCGAUGCGGGAUGAACCGAACGUUAAGUUAAGGUGCCAAAGUGUACGCUUAUUUAGAUACCAUAAAAGGUGUUGGUUCAUCUAGACAGCAGGACGGUGGCCAUGGAAGUCGGAAUCCGCUAAGGAGUGUGUAACAACUCACCUGCCGAAUGAACUAGCCCUGAAAAUGGAUGGCGCUCAAGCGUACCACCUAUACUUAACCUUUAGAGCAAUUUUUUUUUUGAUGCUCUAAAGUGUAGGCGGACGUGGAGGUUUGUGUUAAAGCGCUUUGGGCGUGAGCCUGCGUGGAACAACCUCUAGUGCAGAUCUUGGUGGUAGUAGCAAAUAUUCAAAUGAGAACUUUGAAGACUGAAGUGGAGAAGGGUUCCGCAAGAACAGUGAUUGGUUGCGGGUUAGUCGAUCCUAAGAGAUAGGGAAACUCUGUUUCAAAGCAGCGCAUUUUUUCGCGCUCUCUAUCGAAAGGGAAUCUGGUUAACAUUCCAGAACUUAAGCUAGCAUGUUAAAGCGGCGACGCAAAAGAACUCGGUGACGUUGGCAAGGGGCCUGGGAAGAGUUUUCUUUUCUUUUUAACACGUAAACGACUGUGGAAUCGAUUUGCUCGGCGAAGCAGUUGCAUGCGUGGAAGAGCAGGACCAUUUUGGUCUUGUCCGGUGUCCUCUUAACGACCCUUGAAAAACCGAGGGAUUUUAUUAGUGUCUAGUUAAGUCGUACCCAUCACCGCAUCAGGUCUCCAAGGUGAACAGCCUCUAGUUGAUAGAACAAUGUAGAUAAGGGAAGUCGGCAAAUUAGAUCCGUAACUUUGGGAAAAGGAUUGGCUCUAAGGGUUGGGCUGGUUGGUGCUUGAAUUUUCUUAGUUGCAGGGCCGCGUUUACUUUGGUUUAUGCAGCCUAGCUUCUCGGAAUUUUCUUGGGCUGGCCGGCAAUUUGAACAACCAACUUAGAACUGGUACGGACAAGAGGAAUCUGACUGUCUAAUUAAAACAUAGCUUUGCGAUGGUCAGAAAGUGAUGUUGACGCAAAGUGAUUUCUGCCCAGUGCUCUGAAUGUCAAAGUGAAGAAAUUCAACCAAGCGCGGGUAAACGGCGGGAGUAACUAUGACUCUCUUAAGGUAGCCAAAUGCCUCGUCAUCUAAUUAGUGACGCGCAUGAAUGGAUUAACGAGAUUCCUACUGUCCCUAUCUACUAUCUAGCGAAACCACAGCCAAGGGAACGGGCUUGGCAAAAUCAGCGGGGAAAGAAGACCCUGUUGAGCUUGACUCUAGUUUGGCAUUGUGAAAAGACAUAGGGGGUGUAGCAUAAGUGGGAGAGUUUCGGCUCGAUCUUGAAAUACCACUACCCUUAUCGUUUUUUUACUUAUUUGAUGAAAAAGGGUUGGGAGCAAUCCCAUCUUCUAGCAUUAACUCGGCGUCAGUCGAGGACCUUUGUCAAAGACAUGGUCAGAUGGGGAGUUUGGCUGGGGCGGCACAUCUGUUAAAGAAUAA
RNAcentral lists this ribosomal RNA (3148 nucleotides) under Allomyces macrogynus ATCC 38327. Its description in RNAcentral is "eukaryotic LSU rRNA". The stretch from base 440 to 3148 matches the Rfam family "Eukaryotic large subunit ribosomal RNA", at positions 1 to 2652 of the family's 3401-position model. The record is from RNAcentral. Lineage: Eukaryota; Fungi; Blastocladiomycota; Blastocladiomycetes; Blastocladiales; Blastocladiaceae.